UACUUGCAAUAUGAUUUGAUUACAUCCAGUUGUGAUUCAUAAGUUGUGAAUUCAAUUUACUUAUCCGAUCGUAAAAAAAAAUGAUUUGUGUAUGUUGGUUGAGAGUGCACGCUUAAUUUUCAUGCAUGAAUUUAAUGCUAGAAUAUAAGGGAGUUUCACCUAAUCGUUAUGAACUUAUAUUCACAAGUAGUGAAGGUUGCUAGUCA
This 206-nucleotide long non-coding RNA is filed under the name Malus domestica (apple). Its description in RNAcentral is "long non-coding RNA (MDOM_LNC020443)". The record is from RNAcentral. Lineage: Eukaryota; Viridiplantae; Streptophyta; Magnoliopsida; Rosales; Rosaceae.